CCCCGCCGGAGCCUUUGGCGUGUGCC
RNAcentral lists this non-coding RNA (26 nucleotides) under Homo sapiens (human). The record is from RNAcentral. Lineage: Eukaryota; Metazoa; Chordata; Mammalia; Primates; Hominidae.